UAGCGACAGGCUUAACACAUGCAAGUCGAGGGGCAGCGGGGGCGAAGCUUGCUUCGCCUGCCGGCGACCGGCGCACGGGUGAGUAACACGUAUGCGACCUGCCCCCCGCAGGGGGAUAACCGGGAGAAAUCCCGACUAAUACCGCGUAACGCCGCUGGGCUGCAUGGCCCGGCGGCCAAAGGAAGCGAUUCCGGCGGGGGAUGGGCAUGCGGCGCAUUAGCUAGUCGGCGGGGUAACGGCCCACCGAGGCGACGAUGCGUAGGGGUUCUGAGAGGAAGGUCCCCCACACUGGUACUGAGACACGGACCAGACUCCUACGGGAGGCAGCAGUGAGGAAUAUUGGUCAAUGGGCGGGAGCCUGAACCAGCCAAGUCGCGUGAGGGAAGACGGUCCUACGGAUUGUAAACCUCUUUUGCCGGGGAGCAACGGGGUCCUUGCGAGGGCCCGAUGAGAGUACCCGGAGAAAAAGCAUCGGCUAACUCCGUGCCAGCAGCCGCGGUAAUACGGAGGAUGCGAGCGUUAUCCGGAUUUAUUGGGUUUAAAGGGUGCGUAGGCGGGCUGUUAAGUCAGCGGUCAAAUGUCGGGGCUCAACCCCGGCCUGCCGUUGAAACUGGCGGCCUCGAGUGGGCGAGAAGUAUGCGGAAUGCGUGGUGUAGCGGUGAAAUGCAUAGAUAUCACGCAGAACUCCGAUUGCGAAGGCAGCAUACCGGCGCCCGACUGACGCUGAGGCACGAAAGCGUGGGUAUCGAACAGGAUUAGAUACCCUGGUAGUCCACGCAGUAAACGAUGAAUGCUAGCUGUCCGGUUCUACGGGACUGGGUGGCACAGCGAAAGCGUUAAGCAUUCCACCUGGGGAGUACGCCGGCAACGGUGAAACUCAAAGGAAUUGACGGGGGCCCGCACAAGCGGAGGAACAUGUGGUUUAAUUCGAUGAUACGCGAGGAACCUUACCCGGGCUCAAACGCCAAAGGACAGCCGUUGAAAGGCGGCCUCCCUCCGGGGUCUUUGGCGAGGUGCUGCAUGGUUGUCGUCAGCUCGUGCCGUGAGGUGUCGGCUUAAGUGCCAUAACGAGCGCAACCCCCAUCGACAGUUGCUAACGGGUAGAGCCGAGGACUCUGUCGAGACUGCCGGCGCAAGCUGCGAGGAAGGCGGGGAUGACGUCAAAUCAGCACGGCCCUUACGUCCGGGGCGACACACGUGUUACAAUGGCCGGUACAGCGGGAUGCCAGGGCGCGAGCCCGAGCGGAACCCGAAAACCGGUCUCAGUUCGGAUUGGAGUCUGCAACCCGACUCCAUGAAGCUGGAUUCGCUAGUAAUCGCGCAUCAGCCACGGCGCGGUGAAUACGUUCCCGGGCCUUGC
Molecule: ribosomal RNA, 1360 nt
Filed under: uncultured bacterium
Lineage: Bacteria
Description: bacterial SSU rRNA
Rfam family: Bacterial small subunit ribosomal RNA
Source: RNAcentral